CGUAGGGUGCAAGCGUUAAUCGGAAUUACUGGGCGUAAAGCGUGCGCAGGCGGUGAUGUAAGACAGGUGUGAAAUCCCCGGGCUUAACCUGGGAACUGCAUUUGUGACUGCAUCGCUGGAGUGCGGCAGAGGGGGAUGGAAUUCCGCGUGUAGCAGUGAAAUGCGUAGAUAUGCGGAGGAACACCGAUGGCGAAGGCAAUCCCCUGGGCCUGCACUGACGCUCAUGCACGAAAGCGUGGGGAGCAAACAGGAUUAGAUACCCUGGUAGUCCACGCCCUAAACGAUGUCAACUGGUUGUUGGGUCUUUACUGACUCAGUAACGAAGCUAACGCGUGAAGUUGACCGCCUGGGGAGUACGGCCGCAAGGUUG
This 370-nucleotide ribosomal RNA is filed under the name uncultured organism. RNAcentral's name for it is "bacterial SSU rRNA". It matches the Rfam family "Bacterial small subunit ribosomal RNA", at positions 526 to 896 of the family's 1533-position model. The record is from RNAcentral.